Molecule: non-coding RNA, 106 nt
Organism: Capsicum annuum
Lineage: Eukaryota; Viridiplantae; Streptophyta; Magnoliopsida; Solanales; Solanaceae
Source: Rfam
UAUUGGCAAUGUGGGAAAUCUCUAAAAAGGACUUAAAUCUCUCCCAUGCAUGAUAGAGAUUUUUGUCUAUCUUUUGUAUGAAACUUGGGAUCUCAUGCCUCAACCC